Gallus gallus (chicken) is the source of this 11394-nucleotide long non-coding RNA. RefSeq lists it as uncharacterized. The record is from RefSeq and is a predicted model, not a curated record. The transcript is spliced from 4 exons. NCBI's taxonomy places the organism in Eukaryota, Metazoa, Chordata, Aves, Galliformes, Phasianidae.
AUUGUGGUCCUUUUCAACCCAGGCCAUUCUAUGAUUCUAUCAUUCUAUGAUCCUCUGAUUCUAUACAUGUUUUUUUUAAAAAAACACAUCAAUAGUUUUCCAUUAAAUCCUUUACCUUCGUCUGGAAUCAUUACAGUUUUGCUGCUUCCUUUUUUUUUUUUUUUUUUUUUUUUUUUUUUUUCCUGUUGCAGCUACCUGGAGGUAAUUGUGUUCCUAAAAAUGUUUAUUUACUGAUGACUUUAUACCAUGUGGUAUUCAGGAUUCAGACUUUUAGUUUCUUCGUUUGCUUUUCAGUUGCUGUAAGAUUAAUCAUCACUAGCCUAAUCUUUUGGCAAGUUUUAAGAACAAAUGGGAAUAUGUUUUACUGACUGCUAUUACUGUUCUGUAGAAUUGCAAGGUCCGUGGUGGGUCUGUAUUAGCCUUCCAGACCACCUUCAUAGAUGUGUCUAUCCAGUCAUGUUUCAUGACCUUUAUGUUGGUAUAUCCUUUGUCUGUAUCUGUUAUCGUCAGAUUUUUAUACCACAGUCAACUUAAAUGGCAAAAUGUAAACCAUUUUGUUUUGUUUUACUGUACUCUGUUGUUGAAGCACUCAGCUAGGGAAAAGAUCUUAGAAUUUGUCCCUACUCAGUUGGUAAAGAUUACUGCAUUACGCUAUGACUUUCAGACAUUUCAGACUUUCAGACAGUGAACUGCCAGAAAGAAGGAUUUCAAAACCAUAAGUCUGCUAUGCUGUUCUCAGAGACUAAUCCUCUGUGGGCACUGUGAGUCCUUCCCAGAGAGUAUGCAGAAAAUGAGGACACCCUUGGAAGACACAUAGGCUAACAUAGGCUGUGACAGAUGUACCCUGUGUAAAGAUAUACACAGAACAGAAAGUUGUAAGAAUACAACUUCUACAAUACUGCUCCAAGAAAACAGAUGGCUGCAGUCUUUAAGUGCUCUUCAGGUGAGGCUUUUUAUUGCAGGUUCUCAUCCUAGCUGAGAUCCUAAGGCAUAGGUGUCUGGGGAGACUGCAUGAGCAAAAGAAACCACGUUUUCUAAGGAGCUGUGAUUGAAGAGUCUCUUGAGUCAACAUCAGAACUUGAAAAUCGAAGUUUACUUAAAUUUUUUCCAAACAAGUUCAAGCUGUUUUAACCUUUAUAGCUACAUAUACUCUCAGCUGUAUCACCUGGUAAAAAGUACCUCUUGGUUCCAUGUGAUAAAUCUGCCAUAUUACUUCUAUCUUCUGUUAAGUGUGCUUCAGCAAGCUGCUGCUCUUCCUGAGCAAGGAAGCACCAUAGCAAAAAAAAAAAAAAAGAAAAGAAAAAAAAAGAAAAAAAAAGUUUUGUUUAGCUGUAAUUGGAAGAUGAUAAUUCUGAAAUCCUAGGCCCUUGAAGGACUGAAAAAUUAAUUCCCCACUCCACCCUCUUGGGGCAGGCAGAGGACAAUCAAAUCUCUGAAUGACUGCAAUGGAAUCCUCACAGAACCCAGGCUGGGUAGAUGUAAAGCAAGCUAUCAAAGAGAUCCUUUAUUCAUGAAGAAAUCAGGAGAUCCUGCUUGUGAGCAGAAGGAUCACAGCCAAAAAAAAACCCAAAAACCUGUGGUACAGUUGGAGCUGUGUUAUUAUAAAGCAUAAUGCAGAUAGAUCAGUCUGGAAGCUGAUCAAUGAUGGAAUGUCUGAAAAUCAUCCAGGCCAAACCACUUCUGUUAAUUCUGUGGGGUAGCAUAGGCCAAACCAUAGAAAUUUAAGUGAUGGAAAUCAGUUUUAGAAAGAGUUCUCCAUCAAGACAUAGGCAGAGGACCCAGGCUGGCAGUUGGGUACUUGUCAUGCUUACCGCCUGUGUUAGUUUCAGGGGCUGAUAAGUGUUCAGGCAAGAAACACAGUGGUUGCGCUAUUCUAAAACCCCCUUUCUUUAAGAGCUUUUUCCCCAUUCUAGUGUUAGUGGCUGGUUUUAAGAAGGUUGUCCCUGAUCAGAGAUGCCAUAGGGAAGAGCUAUAAGUGCUGAAUGCAGCCAGACCUGUUAGCUCUGAGCGGGAACUACAAAGGGUGCUGACAGCUGUCCUGGGAAAAGCUUGUGAGGGACAGAGGCCUGUCCAGCACCUGAGGGGCCACAGGUUGGACAGAGAAGCAAGUAGCCCUGUAGCUGUGACACAGAUGUCCUGUGGUGUUGCUGUGGUGACACUGAUGUGACUUUGGGGAUGUCUGAGGGCUGUGUUGACUGAUUCCCCUUUCCCCCUUUGCAAUAUAAAUUUACUAUGCUGCAUAUAACUGACUAAAUGAAUUGAUCGUGGUGUUGUGUAGCUGUGCCUUAUGCAAAAAUUCACUUACACCACUGUUACAUAUUUCAUAUUUUCUUUUAUUUUUUAUUAGAGGUAUUAUGAUUGAAGUAAGACAAAUCCACAGUUGAAAACAUUCCAAGUGUCCAUUAAUAUUUUGGUACUACUGUGAAGAGUACCAUGAACCCAAGCAUCAUGAGGGAUAUGUAAACGUUUGUUUUUUGAUGAUACAGUAAAUUUACCCAUUUUUGAUAUGUUCUCAUUCACCUCAGAAAAAAAAAAAGACACAUUUUUCCUCUGCCCAUCCUAUGGACACUCACUGACACAUAUUUUCCUUUUUGAAGGGACAGGUAAUGGCUACAGCAUUGCUUUGUUUUUUUUUCAUACCACUAUGGACUGAAUUGAUGUGUAGGCACAGAUAGUGCAUUACUUUAAUUACACCAUGACAUUGUAACUGCAGCACUGUCUGUUAGGAUUUGUGAAGCUAUUCUCUUCUGUCAGACCUCUUGCCAGCUAAGGAACCAUAGUGUUCCUAUUGCUCACGUCUUGUUUUCUUUGCCUGUGACAAAGAAGUGUUCAGUCUCCUGGAGACUGAAAUGCUUUGCUCUAACCCAAAUUGUUGAGUUCUAUAGGAAAAAAAAAAAACAAAACAAUCCCUGUCUAAUGUCAGUAGGAUCCAUAGCAGCUCAUGAUGUGAUCAUAAUGUAGGAGGCUGAAGGCCCUAAGAAACCUGUAGGCACAUUAGGAUAUAGGUCUGUCAAAAUGAGCUGGGUGUCUUCUUUUGUCUUCUUUCAUAAGAAAUCAGAUCCUCAGGUGAUCUUUUCUCACUAUAAACUAAGAAAUCUUUAAAGUCGUAAUCUGAACUUCCAGGAGCCUUGUCCUUUGCCAGUAAUGAAAACCUAGCAUUGGGCCGUAUCUUCUGCUGGGCAGUCUCUGUGAAACUGCUGCCACUCCCUGCAGGAGCUGAUCCAUUCAUGUCUUUCUCCCAUUUGUUUUAAUUCAUAUGAGGACAUACACAUGAACACAAAUACAGUUUUAAUAAAGGAGAAUUAAUAAUUACUGCUUCCACUAAAAGCAGAUUUUAAAGAAGGAAAAUGCUUCUAAGCACUUUUCAUCCCUCUUCACUUUGGCUGAAUCCCUCCUAAGAUAUGAAAGAUACCAAAUACCUGGAAUGUAAAAACAUGUAGUGCAGCUGCCACCCUAGUGAGACAUUUGCUUGCACUAGGUACUGCUGCUGUACUCUGCUUUUCUGGGGAGCAGACAGCCCACCUGUCCCCAUCAUCUCUGCCAGCAACAAAGUAGGUGGGAGCAGCAGAUGGGCAGGCAUCCUGUUCCCCAGUCUAGUGAGGCUGCUACACAUGGAAGCUGGGACAGACAAGAUAAAAAAUUGGAAAGAAGUAGUAGUUUUGGAGGAAAUUUUGGCCCAUGUCCUGCUACCUGCUCCCACAGGGGAGCAACUAAGACAAAGUCUCUGUUAGUGCUCUUCCCCAGACCCUCUGCAUUCAGUGUCUCACUUUGGAAUGUGGCUGCUUGUGUGAGCACUUAAGCAAUUCAUGUGUCCUGGGCACGUUUAAGGAGAAUCUCUAACUGUGAGAAAAAUUUCCCACAACCUGUGCUGACAGCAGGAAUGAAACGAUGAGAAGUAUUUUGAGUCCACAUACAGGAGGCAGUACAUGCAAAAUACAACAUUUAGCUUUCCCCCAGGGAAUGGGAACAAGGAGAAGAAGGCUGCAGAGUUAAUACUUUAAAGUGCAUGCAGAGACAGCUGGAAAACCACAGCUGCAGAAGUCUGACAUCCCUGCUGGGCAAGCUGAUGGGAUCAAUGAACUGUAAACAAAUAUGCGCUACUAAGAAGAGUCUGAAAGAAUCCUUCAGGAGAAGGUUAUGCCUUGCAAAAAUCUCUUACAGUUAAGUGCCUUAAGGCAUCACUGAAUAUGUGAACUAAUAAAUCCAAUUGAUAUGAACUUACUUGAAGUCUUUCAACAAGCUUCUGAUCUAAGAUUUCAAGAAUCUCAGUCAGGACUAAAAUGAAGAUGUAUUGAAAUGAACAGCCUGUUCAUUGACAGGAGACAAAGGACAGAAAUAAAUGAUCAAUGUCAAGAAGGAAGGAAGUUUCUUAGUAAUGUGUCAAGGGGAUCUGUGCUGGUAUCUGUACUGCUCAGUGUUUGCAGACUGUGCUGGGAAAGAAGGUGAUAGUAAAGUUUUUGAUGACACUAUGUUGUUCAGUGAGGUGAGAAUGGAACCUCACUGCAAAGAGCUGCAGAAGGAUUUCACAGCACCAAGUUUCUAGAGGAUGGUGUGGCAUAUGAAAAGCUAUUGCUUCACAGCAAACAGAGCUGAGAGUUAAUAUAAGUAGUUGUAUAACAAAUGUCACUUCAGCAGUGAGCAGAGGGCAAAGGAGGGAAUGUAAGGAAUUAUUAGGAAAAUAGUAGGGAAAAGAGAAUAAGUUUUAGAAGGAACAGAAAUCAUGCCACUGUUGAUACUUGAAGCAAUCUUGCAUCUUGAAUAAUAUGCAUCAUUCUGCUCCCUCUUCAAAAAGUAAUAUAUAGAUCUCAAAAAUACUUAAAGUGCAACAAGGAUGAUCAGAGGAGCAUCUUUCAUACCAGAAGCUAUUAAGUGGACUAGAGUCUAUAAAAAGCUCUUUAAAAUCAUGAGUGGCACACACAAACUGAAGAACAAUUUUUCGCUUUCUCAUAUUGUAAAAUUUAGGAGUUAUCAAAUAAUAUCACAUGGUAGAAUGAAAAUAGAUGGAACUUGCACAAUGAUAUCACAUUUGAUUGAGAAAGUCUUUGAGCUUUGAGUUACUCAAAUCUGGGAGUCUGAAAUGGAGAAGUAGCAUCUAUCAUUUAUUAUCCUAAUCCUUUCCUUGAUCAUCUGUGAGAGGUGAAGUACUGGGAUAGAUGUUUGAUUUGGCAAAGUACAAUCACGAUUAUAGUAUUCUGAUGAUGUAUAUUUCUUAAAUGUUAGAUAUAAAGAAUAUAUUUAAAACACUAUCUUACUUGUAUUAAGCUAUAUGAAAUACAUACAGUGGAGCAUUAUGUGUCAUUUGCAACAUGCCUGUUCUACCACUCUUGCUACAGAAAAUUCCUGAUCUUUGAGAUUUCCUCUUAAUUUGUCUUUCAUGAGAUAACUUUUCUUCCAGAUACAUUAACUGAUUAUAAAGUCAUAAGUGAUUACUUUGGAAAUUUGGAGAUGCUUUGGUGCUGAAAGGAAAUUUAGCAAGAAAGUGGGGGAAAAAAAAGUGGUUUCUUCAGUGACUAAUGUAGACUUGCAAAUGGGAAGAUUGGUUGAAUGUAAUGGCCUGUGUUUAUUUAUUCAUCUGAGAUUCUGCUUUUAUGUCUAAUUCAUAGUUUCCAAAUCUUUCCAAGAUGGGAGUUGGAACAGCAGUAUUUACUUCAGUAUGCAUUAUUAAAGAGUUGCAGCAAAUACACAGCCUCUGUAUCAAACUUGUUAACUAAAUAUCCAUUGGAGAAUGAAUAUUUUCUCUUUCUCCCAAUGCUGCUAAACGCAUAGGAAAGAUUAUAAUGCAAGAUCUAACAGUGUUGCAAAAAAAAGGUAGUGAGAUUGUGAACUACUGAAGUGUUUUUUAAGAAAUAGACAGGGAAAGGUUGUUGUAUGCUGCAUAAAGAUACUUGAGUUCUGUUGGGAAGUUUGAGUUUGAAAUCUGACUAUUUACUAGCCUUUUAUUAUAGUCUUGCCCUUUCCUUUCAAAGACACUGGAGAUGGACAAAACAUGGGAAGCACAGAUGGGAGAAAAUGAGAAUGGAAAGAUAUUUUGAAAGCCCUUUGUGAAGCAACAGAGAUAAUAUUGUAAAUUCAUUGGGUGUGCUGUGUGUGGCAGUUCUGUCCAAAUUCUUCUGUUUGUUAACAAAUUUAUACCAAAGAAAAACUGCUUGUUUCAUUCAUUCAGUCACCAGUUCAUUCAUUUACUUUAUAGAGCACCUCUCAGACACUGGACUGAAUAUAUUCCAUCAGUUGUUUUCCCCACAGUCCUAAAAUAUUAGCUAAAUAAGCCAUCAGGAAUGUGACCCCAAAGAGUGAUAUCUUGUUAUAAAUAUACAAGAAGAAACAUCUAAAAGCUUGACAGGAUAAAUCGGCUCCUCUCAGUCUCUCUGACACCCACACAUACACAUGCCCAUGUGUUACGCAACUUAUUAAACAUUCAAAACAUCAAAUUAGUUCAGUAUCUGUCCUUGGAUUUGGAAUUUGCAUACUGUUUAUCACCACAAGAGUACACAUAUUAUGGUUUCCUUUUUAUAAAUCAUGGAGAUAACACAUUUUCAUUGCGUGUCACUGUAUAUAAAAUAUAAUUCUGUUUUUGUCAGCAGACUGCUAAAUGACAGUGGAGCGUCUGCAGCGUGCAUAAAGCAGCAUCUUGUAAUAGACUGCAGGUCCCAUGUGAGAACUUACAAUGAAUGCAUUUUAAAGUUACAGCAGCAGUACAGCCUCAAAAACUGCCAGAAGUCAUUUGAUUGCGACGUAUACGUAUAUGUUGAUUUUUGACAUGCUUGUAUACAUGCCAAUGUAAAUGUUCUGUGAAGAUGACUGACACUGUUACGCGCUCCAUUUAGUGGCCCAGUCUUUUACUUAGUGAACUGGCAUUCAUUCACAGACAAAAUGUAAAUAGUUCUGCUUAUUCUGUAGAACACGUAGAAAGCCUGAUGUUCCUGGGAGGCAGCGUUGCAGUCUCAUUAGCGGUGUGUACCUGUGUAUUCAGAAACGUGCUGCUGAAUCUCGAGGGUUUCCUGUGCAGGAAUAGGAUACAGGACAACAGUAGAUUUUAGCUACAUGCAUGUAAUAUGAAGACAGACAGUUAAGAAAAAUGUCACAGCAAUGCAAAUGAAAUGAGCACAGUGCCAUUUUUUAAUUAUUAUUUGGUUGUUCCAAAAAGUCAGGAAGCUUUUUGCAUGAUCCUUUUCUUAAAAAUACUCACAUUCUAAAACCAAGGCAUGUGAGGAGCAUCUCUCUUUUUACUGGCAUAAAUUCUACUGGUUCACAUCAAGUGUAACUCCUAAACUUUAAAAGCCAGGGCAUUUCAAAGGUUAGUUGUUUUAAUAGUUAAACACGUGUACGUUGUUUCUGCUUUGUGUUGUUUAAUUUGAUCUUUCCACCAUUUGAUGCUGUUACUCACAUUUUGGGUAGAUUAAAGAGCUCUUUACUAUCAACAAUCUCCCAUAUAGGUAUUUGUGUGGUGUAAUCAAGUUCCCUCUUAAUCUUCACUUUGAUCAGAUAGGCACAUUCUUAGGACUGUCAUUGUAAGCCAGGAUUUACAGUCCUCUGAUUACUUAGUCAUUCCUGUAUCUUACCUUAUUUCUAGUGCUUUCCAUCAGGGCCCAAAAACCGUAUUCUGAAAAUACCUGUGCUGUCCAAAAAUGCCUCCAAACCUAGGACAAAUACCAUCCUCACAUUCUGGAGAGGCAGUCCUCUAUGUAUAUACUCAGGGAUGUUGUUAUCUAUUAGUACUGAGCAGAGGCCUCAUGUUUUGUUGGUUAUAAUGAUGCUCAUGUGCUUUCUCAUGUGAUAUCCCUUGUGUUACAGAUGAGCAUUAAUUUAUUGACUAUUAGAAUGAUGACUGAAGACACAUAUUUGUGCCUUUGAUUUGCUAUAAAUCACUGGAUCAUCCGCAGUUUUAUUACCAGCCAACUUCUAAUAUUUUCAGAUCAGUGACAACUGAUCUGUAGGACGGUAGGAUGGACACUUAAAGGAUUGCAUUUUAUAAUCUGGAUGAACCUGCUGACUAUUCUUUAAGACCUCAAUUUUGAAGAAUUUGUUUUAGCAUUCUGGCAAUAUGGUAGUUUGGAUGGACUGUAUUCUGUUGCUUCUUCACAUGCUGUAUGUGUUUGAUAGAUGGCCUCUAGCCUAGUGGGGUCUUAAAUUUUGAGGGUUACCACCUGAAGACUGUCAUACAAUGAAAAGUCUUAUUUUACAGCAGUUAAUGAUAAUGGGUGUAGUGAAGAGUUUGUCAGCCAUUUCAAAGUAUGGAUCUCCUUUUUUUUUUUUUUGUUAAAAAGUUUACUCAGAUGUUAUGUAACAAGUACUUCUUAAAUGCCAUCAAAUAGUCCAUGUCCUUUCAGGUUGUUUGUGAGGGAUACUGACUUUCUCAUGACCUCAAAAACUCACCCUUCCCCUUACUGGAAACAGUGGAGCUGCGUAGGUUUUUAUCAAGUAAGGAUCUAGCCUAGUUUACGUAAUAAAUUGUGAAUUCACUGAUGAGGCUGACAAUCAGAUGGUUCAAAGUCAACCUUUUAAGUAAAAAAAAUAUGGCUUUGGAAGUAACUGUCUCUGCUUUAUCCUUCUUCCUCCCACUACCUCCAAAAAUACUGUUUGCUCUUCCAGAGCAGAUGAAGUUUCACAGAACAUUUAAAGCACGCAGAGCCAUCUUCUCCUGGAUGCUGCAGUGAUGAAGACACCUUUUUCAGACUUUCAGAUUCAGAGCAGCAUGGUCCCGUUCUCCAACUUCUUUUCCCCCAGUCUGUUUUCACAAGCUCACAUAGCCUUACUGCAAAGACUGUUUUCUGCCCCGAAGAGUUGCUAGAUUGUCUUUGAACAUGUAGUCGUGUUGGACACCUGGCAGCCCAGGGGUCAAGUUCUCCAUGAUGUUUGACCACACUCGCAGUGAAAAUUAAGUGAUUCUGCUGCUACUACAGCAAAGGAGAACUGUAGUGGGAAUUUUGUGUUUCUUUCAGUGGAACACCAGUGACUGCUGAAGUCCGCAGGCGUAAAAUUCUUGUCUUACAGCAGUGUUUUCUUCUUGCUACCAUCUGUGAGAAUUUGAAUCUUUAAACAUUUGUCUCAUGCAUUUGUGUGUGGGAGGUGUGAUACGUUCAGUUUAAUAAAUGAGUCUUAGCUUGUUUACAGUAUAUCAGAAUUGACGAUAAUUUGGACACUAUGCAUCUGUUCUGGAAAAUGUCUAGCAUACUUACUUUAUAAUGGUGUGUGAUUAUGUUUAUACUUGAUUUCUCCUGCACGAUGAACCACAAUUAAAAUUUAAUUUGUAAUCCUUUGGUAAUACCGUAUGAAGCUUCUGUCAAUUAAUUGGAAGUAAUUAAUUAAUUAGAUAGAAAUGAAAGUACCUCAGGAACAAUGAGCAUAGAGAGCAGGACAGUGAAAACAUCUGUGGGAGACAGACAAGCAUAGUUCAAGUCUCCGUGCCACAGAUUAGUAGUAUUAGUAAUUCAUUUGCAACAAAAAUAUGUAUUUCUAGCUGCUAAAUAAACCAGGUUGUUUUUUAUGGUUUUAGUUUUAUUGUUGGUUUUCUUUUCUGGGCUGCAGAGCUGCAGAUCGCAAGGCAAGGCAGAGCAGAUCAGUUUGAAAUUACUGCUCACUGACUCAAGAUGGAGGGGUUUAAGUUCUGUCUUAAAUACUUCAGUAAUGCAGGACUUCAUAUGAGUCACUGCACAUGGAUCAAAUCUAGCUAAUUUCAUCAGUACAGAAAUGAUAGACUUCUCGUGGUCUGAGUUCUUUUCUGAGGCCUCCUCUGGGACACCAGUUAAAUUCUGAUGUUCUUGCUGUCAGUGUUGAAGUAAAAAGGCUCUUGCAUCAGGUAUCAUCUAUACAUCUUCCUCAUUAGCAUCCUAAUUAAUUGGUGUGGUAAGCUUGGUCUGGCCCACGUUAGCCUCAGCUGACGCAGAAGCACUCUGGUUAGUCUUACGUUCUGUGGGGAAAAAAGGUGCCAAGGGAUGAGCAUCCUGAAUACAUAUAUACACACAAAUAUAUAUAGGGGUAUGCAAGGGAGUUACUUCAGCCUGCCUCUUGUCUAAUCUGAGCACCAGUGCCACUGCAGCAGGGUAUGAGAUGUGAGUUGAGCUGGAAGCUGGGAUCUCAGCAGCGUGCAACCUUCCUUUAUGUUGAAUCCAUAUCAGUUUCUGUGUUCCUCACCACUGGGAGGCACUUUAUGCCCAGGAUCCCAACCAUCACUGCUCUGUAAAAGCGGUCCAGAAAAUGCUUUGUGCUGUGGACAUAUAGAUGCUUUGUGGAACUGCAUAGAGAACAGCAUUUGACGAGGUUAAGAGAAAGCUGUGGUUUUGUUCUGUCUCAGGAUAAGCAGGGAAGCACGUUGCUUCCAGGCUACUUGGGUGGUUCUAAGAAUUUCCACAAUUUCUCUGAAGUUUUGGUCACUGAAAUGAGACAGUGGGGAAAAUUGUGACUUUCCGGAUGAAAGACAGUAGAGGAGAAGUGUGGGCUAAGCUGAGAUAACUGAAUUUUGACUCCUGGAUGCUCACUGUAUUUUAUAAAAGUGCAUUUUACUUAAUAGAUGCCGAGGUUAUGAUUGCCUAAUGGGUAUUGUAUACCAAAGGCCAUUACGGCUUGAGAGGGGUGGUCUUGUGCUGCUGAUCUUUUUGCAAAAAGUAGUUCUUUAGAAGGGAGAGUUGCUGGUGAAAUCUGCUGCUGUUAAAAUACGCAUAGUGGUGCCAUGGGAUGUUAAACUUCUUUGGAGCUGCCCACCAACAAACAGCGGUUAGUUGCUCUGUGAGGUUUUCCGAAGUGUCCUUGUGCUAAUUUAUAUUGCACCAGGAAGAACAUAAUAAAUUGGUUUUCAGUUUUCAGUGUUGUUACCAGAAUAUAGAUAAAUAAAACACUAUUGUUUACGAUAGGAACUAGCAGUAACAAAAAGCUGCGGUAAUAAUACUCCUUUUCCACCCCGAUUUAAACCUAUAUAUAUCUGAAGGUAACACACUAGCAUAUUUUUUGUUUCUUUUUGUGACCUGCAGAUAUUUAUGGUCUUGUAAAAGUGUGAGAAAGACUGUAAUGCAUUGUAGUGAUCAUUGGUUCUAACCUACAGCAAUAUUUAGUGGCUAGACAUCUAAGAAGGAAAGCACAGGAGCAAGAAGGAUGCUGUGGUACAUCUCCCAGUGUACCCUAAUAAUUUCCACCAAUGCAGUGCUUAUGAGUUUUGUGAGCUAGAUAUUUUAUCUGUAUGUCAAUAGCCAUUAAUGGGUAUUCUUCAAUGAAUUUGUAAUAUCAUUUUUUCAUAUUACCUAAACUUCUUGCUGCUACAGUACCCAGCAAUAACUCCAGGCCCACAUUAUGUACUCUGUAGAAAGAUAGUCGCUUCUUUAAAACUGUGAUGAUUACAUUGACUAUUGUGUAGGUUUUGUGUUAGGGAACGGAAUGAAUAAUACUCUGUUUUCAUGAUUCUUC